Molecule: ribosomal RNA, 110 nt
Filed under: uncultured eukaryote
Lineage: Eukaryota
Description: partial small subunit ribosomal RNA
Rfam family: Eukaryotic small subunit ribosomal RNA
Source: RNAcentral
UCGCACCUACCGAUUGAAUGAUUCGGUGAAACUCUCGGACCGUAGCGCGGACACCUUCGGGUGACCAAGCUGUGGGAAGUUAUUUAAACCUCAUCAUUUAGAGGAAGGUG